This 291-nucleotide ribosomal RNA is filed under the name Helictotrichon macrostachyum. The record is from RNAcentral. Lineage: Eukaryota; Viridiplantae; Streptophyta; Magnoliopsida; Poales; Poaceae.
UCCUUUUUGCGUCACGUGGCGACGGAGUACGGUGGACGUUUUAUUUUUUUGCGGAGCACCGUGGUCGUGUUUUGGGCAUGGUAAAGUGUGGUUUUGCAUGGGGAGUUCGGGUGUAGGCACGAUAAUGAGCUGGAGGUGGUGGCAUAAGGGGAAACGGCGUGCAGAACAUGACGGAUGCGAUCAUACCAGCACUAAAGCACCGGAUCCCAUCAGAACUCCGAAGUUAAGCGUGCUUGGGCGAUAGUAGUACUAGGAUGGGUGACCUCCUGGGAAGUCCUCGUGCUGCAUCCC